ACAGAAGGUCACAAGUUGUGACUCCCAUGUCUUCCCUCUUUCGACACUCUUGAGCUCAGCUGUCUUCUGGUUGGCGAGUGCUUCCUUUCUCCGCAGCGUCUUCUGGCCACUUCACUCUGACUGAGGCUGAAUUUUGAAGCUUACAGAUUUCUCGGGAUUCAGAAGGGAAGGUCACCCCCGCACAUGGAAGAGCAGUGAUGCGCCCAUACUGCAACGUGCUCGGGAUACUGCGGGAAAGGGUUCCAGAACCAUUCCGCCUACUCACCAGCUCUAGGAUUUGGCAGCCAACACCCUCCUCUGACCUCCGAGGCUCGGCGUUAUUGACUAACCCUAACAGGGAUGGAUCCCGCCUUCCCUGCCUCACAGUGACUUCUGUGAGGGUUAAACGAGAGCCAUGAAAACCAUGCAUGUCAGUAUUUCCCAGUAAACACUUAGUGACGGAAGUGCUGCGGUGGGGACCAGCGUUCGCAAAGUGCAGAAGACACGGUUCCCCAAGUGAAGCUUGAAGACCUAGAAAGACCUGAGUCAGGUUUUCCACUGAGAUGUGAACCAGCUCCUGGGGGCCCCUGGGGUGCUGCCUUGUUGACCGCAGGCCUUUAAGAUCUUUGUGUACCGCUGAGACCUCUUGAUUCUAAGAAUCUCAUCCAGGACACGGGAUUCCACGGAGUUGUCACGUCUGUCAAGCUCCGCCUGUGCCAGUUUCUCCGACAUUCCUUGUUUUUGAUGGUACAUUGACGGUUUUAAGGAGCGCUGCUCAGGUGUAUUGUAGGAUGCUCCGUGACUGGACUGUGAUGCAUUUCUUAUGAUUAAACAGGGGUUAUGGGUCUUUGAAAGAAAAGUCACAGAGGUAAAGUGGUAUUUUCAUCAGACCCCAUCAGGGGCACAUAGCAACAUAACUUAUGACUGUUGAUACUAACCUUGAUCACUGGCUUAGUAGUGUUUGUCAGGUUCCUCCACUGUAAAGUUUCUCUUUUCCCCCUUCCUGCCUUUUCUUGUUUUCAAAAAGCCCUGUUCCCAUGAUUAUGCUUCUGUAAUAUAAGCAGGUGGAUGCUUUGUGUGGAUACAGCAGCCUCCAAGGUUUGGAUGGCCUUGUUGUCUGCUUAGCAGUGCAGGAUCACCCAGAGGCUGUGCUGCGUGUGCUCAGAGUCUUCCACAGCCACAGUGUCAUGUACGGGGUCUGGCCCACAACUGACAGGGAAUCAGAAUUUC
Molecule: long non-coding RNA, 1209 nt
Filed under: Homo sapiens (human)
Lineage: Eukaryota; Metazoa; Chordata; Mammalia; Primates; Hominidae
Description: HSALNT0324000
Source: RNAcentral